Molecule: ribosomal RNA, 433 nt
Filed under: uncultured bacterium
Lineage: Bacteria
Description: partial 16S ribosomal RNA
Rfam family: Bacterial small subunit ribosomal RNA
Source: RNAcentral
AACGAACGCUGGCGGCAUGCCUAACACAUGCAAGUCGAACGAGACCUUCGGGUCUAGUGGCGCACGGGUGCGUAACGCGUGGGAACCUGCCCUUAGGUUCGGAAUAACUCCCAGAAAGGGGUGCUAAUACCGGAUAAUGUCUUCGGACCAAAGAUUUAUCGCCUUUGGAUGGGCCCGCGUUGGAUUAGCUAGUUGGUAGGGUAAAAGCCUACCAAGGCGACGAUCCAUAGCUGGUCUGAGAGGAUGAUCAGCCACACUGGGACUGAGACACGGCCCAGACUCCUACGGGAGGCAGCAGUGGGGAAUAUUGGACAAUGGGCGAAAGCCUGAUCCAGCAAUGCCGCGUGAGUGAUGAAGGCUUUAGGGUUGUAAAGCUCUUUUACCCGGGAUGAUAAUGACAGUACCGGGAGAAUAAGCUCCGGCUAACUCCGUG